This 519-nucleotide ribosomal RNA is filed under the name uncultured bacterium. Its description in RNAcentral is "bacterial SSU rRNA". It matches the Rfam family "Bacterial small subunit ribosomal RNA", at positions 15 to 518 of the family's 1533-position model. The record is from RNAcentral.
GAUUAUGGCUCGAGGACGAACGCUGGCGGCGUGCCUAACACAUGCAAGUCGAGCGGGGACAUUGCGACGGAGACGAAGUACUCGUACGGAGUCAAAGAUGUAAUGUCUAGCGGCGGACGGGUGAGUAACGCGUGAGCAACCUGUCCCUUACAGGGGGAUAACACAGCGAAAGUUGUACUAAUACCGCAUAAGACCACAGGAUGACAUCGUCCAGGGGUCAAAGGAGCAAUCCGGUAAGGGGUGGGCUCGCGUCCGAUUAGAUAGUUGGUGAGGUAACGGCCCACCAAGUCGACGAUCGGUAGCCGACCUGAGAGGGUGAUCGGCCACAUUGGGACUGAGACACGGCCCAAACUCCUACGGGAGGCAGCAGUGGGGAAUAUUGGGCAAAUGGGGGAAACCCUGACCCAGCAACGCCGCGUGAGGGAAGAAGGUUUUCGGAUCGUAAACCUCUGUCCCAGGUGAAGAGGAAGAGACGGUAGCCUGGGAGGAAGCCCCGGCUAACUACGUGCCAGCCGCGGC